ACUAGGUUUGUGCAGAGGCGAACUCAUUGUUUUCUACCAAUCUUGAAAAGGUGUGGGAGGACAUGAGGCUGUUCCAGUUACAUGCGAUUAUCGCCUCUGAGAGGAGUCAUGUACAGCAUGAUGAGUAGUGAGUGUUUAUGAAGGUGAGCAAUGUUGAUUUGAGCGGUAGUGUGUCACGCUGGACGUGGGUCUGAGCGCGUCGUGUCGUGUUGCGGUACAGUGAGAGUGGCAUGGCAGCAACAUCGUGUCGCGGUUAGGGCGAGCGCGGUCGAUGAGCCCGACGCAGAGGGCAGCACGGAGCCGCCGCGGGGGGCGCUCCCGCGGCCCCCGCGCCCUUUUCUCUACCCCGUCUGCUUGCGCACUCUGUAGAGCCGCGCCGCGCGCUCACUAAUGCGUCAUAUCGCCAUCGAAGCUAACGCGCUUUCCGCCACUCUGGAAGUACAAUUCGCGCGCGCCAUGUGAACUUAUGUGUUGACUUAUGUACAGACAUGCGACGCGUCAGCGUGUUCGGGAAGCUUAAAUUCGACUUCAAUAUGACUUUUGCCGUUAUGGACAGUGACUUUGGUGCCUGUGAGCUGAGAGACAGUAUAGUGGUACACGCGGUUGGCGCACGUGCUCGCGUCUUCUUCCUAAAACUGAGUACAAUGGCCGACAAACUCCAGACUAAUUUAAGAAACGGAGGUUGAAGCAGUGAAAGAUUUCCUAAUGGAUCAAUUACAAAAUGCGCUGAUUGCCCAGGUAUAUCAGAUGGGGCGACCUGUGGCUCGGCGGGAGAACUGUCAUCAUUGCUCGAUUUUAAUCCGAGGUGAACCCUGUCUUUGAAGAAAAUGCCGUGAUCGAACGUUCGAGAUAAAGAAAACAAAAUGGCUGACCUAAACAAAUAAAAGCUUGCACUGGAGAGGCCGGUGAACGCGGGAAGCUAGCUGUCCCGGAGCUGACGAUCUCUCAACAGAUGGCGAAGUCUUCGGCGUCGUGUGAAUCUCAAACAAAAACUCUGUUUAAAAUAUCAAUAAAUUCAUUCAAACUUAUAAA
This is a long non-coding RNA of Helicoverpa armigera (cotton bollworm), 1032 nucleotides long. RefSeq lists it as uncharacterized. NCBI's taxonomy places the organism in Eukaryota, Metazoa, Arthropoda, Insecta, Lepidoptera, Noctuidae. The record is from RefSeq and is a predicted model, not a curated record. The transcript has 6 exons.